RNAcentral lists this long non-coding RNA (359 nucleotides) under Sorghum bicolor (sorghum). RNAcentral describes it as "long non-coding RNA (SBIC_LNC012792)". Lineage: Eukaryota; Viridiplantae; Streptophyta; Magnoliopsida; Poales; Poaceae. The record is from RNAcentral.
GUCUUCUUUGAUAUUUGCUUUGGGAGAACAUGGGCUAUCUUUUUCUCUUUUUUUCAGGUGGGUAGUAGACACCCCUAAUUCUACUUUCGGACACUUGUCCAUUUUUUCCGCUCAAGUGGGCAUCUUUGUACCCCUAAUUCUACUCCGGACACUUGUCCAUUUUUACCUCUCGUCUCACCCUUUUCUUCUUCCUUUUUCGAGGUUCCGGGCACUUGCUCCUUUUUAUUUCCUCGCAUAUUUUUUUGCAUAACCCAUGCCUCUUCUGCAUUUAAUCUUUUUAGAGAGAGAAUAACAAUACUUGGGACAAUGAGUGAUAAUAUUUUUAGCAAUUUUUAAUGAGUGGUGGUGGAUGUUGUAGU